AAUAGAUACCCCGGUAGUCCACGCCGUAAACGAUGAGUGCUAGGUGUCGGAGGGGUCCACCCUGCGGUGCCGAAGUUAACACAUUAAGCACUCCGCCUGGGGAGUACGGUCGCAAGACUGAAACUCAAAGGAAUUGACGGGGACCCGCACAAGCAGUGGAGUAUGUGGUUUAAUUCGAAGCAACGCGAAGAACCUUACCAGGUCUUGACAUCCCUCUGACCGGUCUAGAGAUAGGCCUUUCCUUCGGGACAGAGGAGACAGGUGGUGCAUGGUUGUCGUCAGCUCGUGUCGUGAGAUGUUGGGUUAAGUCCCGCAACGAGCGCAACCCUUGACUUUAGUUGCCAGCACUUCGGGUGGGCACUCUAGAGUGACUGCCGGUGGCAAACCGGAGGAAGGCGGGGAUGACGUCAAAUCAUCAUGCCCCUUAUGACCUGGGCUACACACGUACUACAAUGGCCGGUACAACGGGCUGCGAAGGAGCGAUCUGGAGCUAAUCCUAUCAAAGCCGGUCUCAGUUCGGAUUGCAGG
Molecule: ribosomal RNA, 528 nt
Filed under: uncultured bacterium
Lineage: Bacteria
Description: bacterial SSU rRNA
Rfam family: Bacterial small subunit ribosomal RNA
Source: RNAcentral